Molecule: ribosomal RNA, 499 nt
Filed under: uncultured bacterium
Lineage: Bacteria
Description: partial 16S ribosomal RNA
Rfam family: Bacterial small subunit ribosomal RNA
Source: RNAcentral
ACGAACGCUGGCGGCGUGCCUAAUACAUGCAAGUCGAGCGGACUGAUUAAGAGCUUGCUCUUCUGACGUUAGCGGCGGACGGGUGAGUAACACGUGGGCAACCUGCCCUGUAGAUCGGGAUAACACCGAGAAAUCGGUGCUAAUACCGGGUAAUAUCUGAGAUCACAUGAUCUUAGGUUAAAAUAUGGCUCCGGCUAUCACUACAGGAUGGGCCCGCAGCGCAUUAGCUAGUUGGUAAGGUAAUGGCUUACCAAGGCGACGAUGCGUAGCCGACCUGAGAGGGUGAUCGGCCACACUGGGACUGGGACACGGCCCAGACACCUACGGGAGGCAGCAGUAGGGAAUCUUCCGCAAUGGACGAAAGUCUGACGGAGCAACGCCGCGUGAGUGAUGAAGGGUUUCGGCUCGUAAAGCUCUGUUGUUAGGGAAGAAACAGUAACGAACGAACUAGGUCGGUACCUUGACGGUACCUAACCAGAAAGCCACGGCUAACUACGUG